AAUAAAUGCAAAUAAAAAUUUUUAUUUAAAGUUAAAAUGUCAUUUAAAAUUUUUAAUUAAAUUUAUUAGGUUAAAUUUUAAAUUUAAAAAAUUAUUUAAUUUAAGAUUAUUUUAAGCUUAAAAAUUUUAUUAUUAAACUAGGAUUAGAUACCCUACUAUAAAAAAUGUAAAUUAAAAAAAUAGAGUAGUAUUAGUUAUAUUCUUAAAACUUAAUAAAUUUGGCGGUAUUUUAAUCUAUUCAGAGGAACUUGUUUUAUAAUUGAUAAUCCUCAUUAAAUCUUACUUAAUUUAUUUAAUUUGUAUACCAUCGUCAUAAGAAUCUCUUAAAAAAGAAAAAAUUUUCUUAAUAAUCUAUUAAUUUAAAUGUCAGAUCAAGGUGCAGUUUAUAAUUAAGAAAAAAUGAGUUACAAUAAAAUUAUUUAAAUGAAUUUUAAAUUUUAAUAUUUAAAUGAAGGUGGAUUUGAUAGUAAAUUUAAUAAAAAAGUUAAAUUGAUUUUAGUUCUAAAAUAUGCACAUAUCGCCCGUCGCUCUCGUUAUUUAAAAUGAG
RNAcentral lists this ribosomal RNA (547 nucleotides) under Allodiopsis domestica. Its description in RNAcentral is "partial 12S ribosomal RNA". The record is from RNAcentral. Lineage: Eukaryota; Metazoa; Arthropoda; Insecta; Diptera; Mycetophilidae.